UUGCUUCUUCUUGGAGAGCACCACCGAAGUCGACCCCUGUGUUCUUAGCUGGGUGUCGGUAGAUUUUAGCGAUGGUGACGGCUUUGAAUGCUUCCAGUCUCGUGUUCUCUUCUUGGAUUUAGCUGUGGCAUCUCUUCCAUCAUUGCAUAGAACAAAGUGGAUGAGGACUGUGGUUAGUUGAGGGCAGCAAACACCAUGAACUUGAUUAAGUUAUCAGAUCACUUUUCAUAGCUUUAAUCACUUUGUAUAGUACUUGUGUCCUGCUUCGGUGGGUGCGAUCUGUUUCCGUCCUAAUGAGAGAAAACAAUUUGGUGCUUGUCUCAUAGUGUUAUUAGUCCCUCAAUCUGUAGAGACUAUGUUCUUGCUUCAGGAGUUAGAAGCCUCUGGAAAAGGAACCAACAAGAGUGGGUGGGGUGCUCAGAGAGUACCCGUAUAUUCCUUUACUGUAGGGGGGUUGAUAGAUAGAUAGAUGGAUAGAUAUAGCUAGGCUGGCUGAGGGGCACCUUUUGCAGGAACAGAACAUUUCUCCCUUUGAUGUGUGGUCCUUGCACAUCACAUUUCUUGGUGGUCCUGUUUUAGUUCAACAUCAACAUGAAACCAAUGUUGAGGAGUAUGUGAGGACUGAUGGUGAGUCCUUAAUCAUGGUGAAGAAGAUGUCUCUGUGCCGUGUCAUGCAAUCUUCUUAUUGGGAGGAGGAGUCACAUAUGUCUCCAAUGAUGGUGAAUGGUACAUUACACCUAAAAGAGGAUUCUUAAGUUGAUAGAGGAUUAUUUCUGUAUUCUAAUGCUGUUUCAUAUAUGCUUUGCUUGAUUGAAGUAGGAGGAGAGUCGCAUGACUUGCCAAGCAGUUGUCUCAGUCCAAGCCUUAAAAAGAUGAUGAACAUGAAACAAGUUUAGGAUUCUGUUUUCUCAGAAGAAAGAAAAAGGAAAAGAGUUUUGGUUCUUAUGGUUUUUCCCUUGUUCUUGGGGUGUAUGAUUUCUUGGAUUUAGGCCUAUUGUUAAAUUGAUUCUUCCUCGCUAAGUUUUGACCCAGUAAGAGACAAACUCUCUUCCAUCAAAGUAAAUCUUAUGUAGCUUCCACUUCACAGUGCCCUUUUUCCUGGCACAGUCAUUUUGUACAUGUGAUCUUGGCAUUGGAUUCUCUCCCACUUGUGCUCUCUUCUACUCUAACACAAAAGUGCUCAGAUGUGCAGGCAGUUCUGAUAACAUCGAGGAAGAGUGACACAGCCUUUGUCUCUGUUACCAUUUCCCUCUAAUCAAUGCAACAUCUAAACAUGUUUGUAGCAGUGUUAGGGUUGUCUUUAGAAACAUUUAUACUGCAGAGUGGUGUUGUUGUUGACUUCACCGACAACUUAGUGCAUGAAACACGAGGACAAAUCUAUGAUGCUGCUAGAGAAAGCUAAGAGUGAUGAUAUUGAUCAGACAGUAGAACACACUUGCAAGCAGCCUGACACAGCGGUGUUUACCCACCACCCAACCACUGCACUCAAUGAAAGACCAUUUGGACUUAUUCCGGUCAAGUCUGCGUGUGGUUCAUAAUUAGUCUGAUCUAAAUAAAUGGCUUCCUGUAGUGCAUUGUUUGUCACGUUGGGUAUGGGUAAUUUCUUUGACUGCCAACAUAUUUGUGAUCCAUUGGUGUCAUUGUGAGUACACCUAAAUACUAGUGUAGAUUAGACUGUAAUCAUCCUGAUUAUAUAUUUUUCUAAGAAAGAUGUAUUAUGAUGCCAAAAACAGUAGAAGCUUUUUAGGUAUUUUAUAUGUUGCAUACCUCUUUAAAUCAAACAAAUUAAUGUUAACCAUGUGAC
Molecule: non-coding RNA, 1804 nt
Organism: Musa acuminata subsp. malaccensis (wild Malaysian banana)
Lineage: Eukaryota; Viridiplantae; Streptophyta; Magnoliopsida; Zingiberales; Musaceae
Source: RefSeq, a predicted model, not a curated record